RNAcentral lists this ribosomal RNA (113 nucleotides) under Candidatus Yanofskybacteria bacterium RIFCSPHIGHO2_02_FULL_44_12b. Lineage: Bacteria; Candidatus Yanofskyibacteriota. RNAcentral also lists the same sequence under 1 other name. The record is from RNAcentral.
UAAGGUGACUAUACUGAGGAUGCUCCACCUGUUCCCAUUCCGAACACAGAAGUGAAAUUCCUCAAGGCCCAUGAUAGUUGGAAAUAUCCAGCGAAAGUAGGUAGUCGCCCUAC